RNAcentral lists this ribosomal RNA (253 nucleotides) under uncultured bacterium. RNAcentral's name for it is "partial 16S ribosomal RNA". It matches the Rfam family "Bacterial small subunit ribosomal RNA", at positions 524 to 776 of the family's 1533-position model. The record is from RNAcentral.
GACGUAGGGCGCGAGCGUUGUCCGGAUUUAUUGGGCGUAAAGAGCGUGUAGGCGGCCCGGUAAGUCCGCUGUGAAAGUCCAGGGCUCAACCCUGGGAUGCCGGUGGAUACUGCUGGGCUAGAGUACGGAAGAGGCGAGUGGAAUUCCCGGUGUAGCGGUGAAAUGCGCAGAUAUCGGGAAGAACACCUAUGGCGAAGGCAGCUCUCUGGGACGGUACUGACGCUGAGACGCGAAAGCGUGGGGAGCGAACAGG